RNAcentral lists this unclassified non-coding RNA (334 nucleotides) under soil metagenome. Its description in RNAcentral is "partial contains 5.8S ribosomal RNA, internal transcribed spacer 2, and large subunit ribosomal RNA". The stretch from base 2 to 121 matches the Rfam family "5.8S ribosomal RNA", at positions 35 to 154 of the family's 154-position model. The record is from RNAcentral.
AGAUGAAGAACGUAGCGAAAUGCGAUAAGUAAUGUGAAUUGCAGAAUUCCGUGAAUCAUCGAAUCUUUGAACGCACAUUGCGCCCCCUGGUAUUCCGGGGGGCAUGCCUGUCCGAGCGUCAUUGCAACCCUCAAGCGCGGCUUGCGUGUUGGGCGCCGUCCCCCGUGGACGCGCCCGAAAGGCAGUGGCGGUACCGUGCUCCGGUGCCCGAGCGUAUGGGCUUAAAACCCGCUCUUGUGGCCCGGCCGGCGCUGGCCUCGACCCCCAACUUUACAAGGUUGACCUCGGAUCAGGUAGGGAUACCCGCUGAACUUAAGCAUAUCAAAGCGGAGGA